UACGUAGGGUGCGAGCGUUAAUCGGAAUUACUGGGCGUAAAGCGUGCGCAGGCGGUUUUGUAAGCCAGAUGUGAAAUCCCCGGGCUUAACCUGGGAAUGGCAUUUGGGACUGCAAGGCUCGAGUGCGGCAGGGGAGACUGGAAUUCCUGGUGUAGCAGUGAAAUGCGUAGAUAUCAGGAGGAAUACCGAUGGCGAAGGCAGGUCUCUGGGCUGACACUGACGCUCAUGCACGAAAGCGUGGGGAGCAAACAGG
This 253-nucleotide ribosomal RNA is filed under the name uncultured bacterium. Its description in RNAcentral is "partial 16S ribosomal RNA". It matches the Rfam family "Bacterial small subunit ribosomal RNA", at positions 524 to 776 of the family's 1533-position model. The record is from RNAcentral.